AUUUUAGGUAUUCCUAGAUCAAACUUUAUGAAAUAUUAUAAGAGAUAUCAAGAAAGUGGCAUACUUACUAGUGUAGGACAAAAUAAUAAAAAGAGGAUAUUCACAGAAGAAGAAGAGGGAGAUAUAACUAAAUAUCUGAUUCAAUCUAGCCAAAUUUUUUAUGGCCUUUCAAUUAAAAAGAUAAAAAUAUUAGCCUACCAAAUGGCAGUAAAUAUGAAGAAAAAAUUUCCUAAAUCUUGGAAGGACAAUUCAAUGGCUGGCCAUGACUGGUAUUUAGGAUUUAUGUCAAGAAAUCCUACUCUCUCCUUAAGAUUCCCUGAAGCUACAAGUAUGGCUAGGGCAACUGGAUUUAAUGAAGAAAAUGUUCUAUACUUUUUUGAUUGAUAUAAAAGAAUAUUAGAUGAACAUAAAUUAGAAUGUAUGGCAAUUUACAACAUGGAUGAAACUGGACUUACCACAGUUCAAACCCCAUCCAAGAUUAUUGCACAAAAGGGUCAAAAACAGGUAGGAUCUAUUACUUCCGCAGAAAGGGGUACCUUAAUAACAUUAACACUUGCUGUAAAUGCAAUUGGUCAUACAAUUCCUCCAAUGUUUCUUUUUCCCAGAAAAAAAUAUUAUGACUAUUUUGUUAGAGAUGGUCCAUCUGCUCUAUAGGGGUAUCAAAUGGUUCUGGAUGGAUGCAAGAGGAGGAUUUUAUUAUUUUUUUGAAGCAUUUUUCUAAACACACUCGGUAUACUCCAAAGUCCAAAGUUUUAUUAAUCCUUGACAAUCAUAUAUCACACUACUCCUAUUCAGCUGUCAAAUUUUGUAUAGAUACGGGAAUAAUUCUAUUAUCUUUGCCACCCCAUUGCACCCAUAAAUUACAGCCUCUUGAUCGAUCUGUUUUUGGGCCUCUCAAAAAAUAUUACAAUAAUGCACUCAGGAAAAUUAUUUACAAUUUAUGAUAUUCUAUCGGUUAUUAAGGAUGUCUUGCCUUUAGCAUCACCUCUCAAUAUACCAAAUGGUUUUAAAGCAUGUGGAAUAUAUCCACUGAAUACAGAUAUAUUCAAUAAAGAAGAUUAUGUGGCCUCAGUUUAUGGAGAUUCUAUAUGUGAACUUCCAAAAAGCCCAUUAUUAGAAUCAAGCUCAGUAUAUUUGGUAUUAAAAGAUAUUUUAAAUACUAAUAGAAACUUAGAUAUAUGUUAUGAUACUCCAUCUACCUCUUAUGUUCAUUUAGAUAAUAUUCCUGGACCAUCGUGCAAUUUAUCAAUAUCCUUGCCUCAUCCCAAAAAGGAAAUAGUCAGGAGAGUUAAAAGGAGAGCAGAGAUAUUUACAUCAUCUCCUUAUAAAAAGAAAUUAAUUGAGAAAGAAAAGUAAAUAAUGGAAAAAGAAAAUAUUAACAAGAGAAAAAUAGUGAAAAAAUUAUUCACAAAGAUAUUUGUGUUUGUUGUAAGCUGGAAUAUAUCAAACAUCAUAAUGGUGAAGAGUGGUACCAGUGCAGAAUGUGCCACGAAUGGGUACAUGGUACAUGUGCUAAUUUUGAUAAAUUUUUUAUAUGUCCAAAAUGUGUAUUAAAUUAACCAAAAUUAAGUUUAAAUUUUUAUAUAUAAUUAGCUUCAAUUUAUAUGUAUUAUGAUAUUUUUAACAAUAAAAGAA
This is a long non-coding RNA of Gordionus sp. m RMFG-2023, 1635 nucleotides long. RefSeq lists it as uncharacterized. The transcript has 3 exons. The record is from RefSeq and is a predicted model, not a curated record. NCBI's taxonomy places the organism in Eukaryota, Metazoa, Nematomorpha, Gordioida, Chordodea, Parachordodidae.